CAAGUCUACUGCUAAACAACUAACUUUGGAGGACAAGAAGUUAGUCAGAUCAACCUCUACCAACCUGAAUUUUGGGCCAGAGAAAGAACAGCAAACAUCUGGACUAGUGAUAGGACUCAGCAUUUUCUUUGGGAUGCUCCUUAUUAUUGUUAUCAUUGUUUGUUGCUGUAGGUGGAAAAAGUCAAGAAAAAGCUCAUUUGACUUGAACUCAGUAGAAGCAACUAUUCCCUUAAAUACCAUUGAAACAAAAGAACCAAGCUCAGGUGGGGAGAAGAAAUGAAAGCACUCUCGCUUAAUAGCCAUUCAAGAAGAUCUCACAAAAAGAACUAAUAUGGCUGAAUCACCAGAGAAAUUAAAAUGGAUUGAAAUUCAAAGAGAUCCACUGGCACUCUCAGUAGUGUAAUCUUCUUUUUAAAAUGGCACAUUUUGGAGUGUUCCUGAAUCUAGUCAUAGUAAUAAGCAGAUAUUCAUUGGUGCUGGCUGCUACAAAUCUUUAUUCAUUGCCUGUUCCUUUUUGGUUGUGGAAAAAAGCUCGCCUUACUUUAAUAUAGUUAUCUAAGGGCCACAUUUCACCAUUUAGGCACAAAUCUGCACCAGCAUAUGAGGAAAUGGGGGAGGCAUAAUCCCUCUCCCAGCUCUCCAGCAUUCAGAAGAAACAUGCCAUGGCCCUUCCUCUUCCUGCCCCUGCCUGCUUCCUUUAGAGGAUUUGUGGCCCUUAGGGUGCACAGCAGGAAGGAGUCACGGAGGGCGGCAGUAUUUGUGCUUCCCUGAGUAUAGGGACUGGGGUCUUUCUGGGCCCUUAUGUGGAGCUCCUAAGAAGUGAGGGGAAAACUACUUAUGCCUCCUGCUCCCACCAAUUCAUCCGUCCAAAAGCCUGUGAAAAUCUAGCCCUUAAUUCUUUGUACAUAGCUUGUUUUAUAAUAAAUGACCUAAGUAAAAGUAAGUCUCAGCACAGUGUAUUUCUGUUAAAUGCAAAAAUGAUGCUGAUGCACUGUUAAGAUUGAAAUGUUGUGCUCACUAAAAUCAGAAAAUGUAGAGUUAAAGGACCAGAGCCUCAGCUGGUGCAAACUGACAGCUUCCUUGGCUUCACUGGAGCCAUAUUGAUUGACACCAGCUGAAGAUCUGGCCCCAGGUUUCCAGAGACACUUUUGCACAGUAGGGUUUUUAUCAUCUAAUCAUAACACUUAUAUAUGCAAUAACAUAAAAUGUUGUAUUUGUUCAUAGAGUGUUAUAAAAGAAUGUGUAGUUUUAACAUGGAAGCCUACAAUCCUGUAUACCAUGUUUACAGUUUUACAAACACAAUGUAAGAACACAAUGCAGCUUAUUUCCUUGGUAUGAAGUUAUUUGCUAAAUAGUGUUAUU
This is a long non-coding RNA of Terrapene triunguis (Three-toed box turtle), 1362 nucleotides long. RefSeq lists it as uncharacterized. The record is from RefSeq and is a predicted model, not a curated record. The transcript is spliced from 5 exons. Lineage: Eukaryota; Metazoa; Chordata; Testudines; Emydidae.